GACAGAGGGUGCAAGCGUUGUUCGGAAUUACUGGGCGUAAAGCGCGUGUAGGCGGCCUGAAAAGUCGGAUGUGAAAGCCCUAGGCUCAACCUAGGAAGUGCAUCCGAAACUGCCAGGCUUGAGUGCUGGAGAGGUACGGGGAAUUCCCGGUGUAGAGGUGAAAUUCGUAGAUAUCGGGAGGAACACCGGCGGCGAAGGCGGUUCUCUGGGCCUUACCUGACGCUGAGGAGCGAAAGCGUGGGGAGCGAACAGG
This 253-nucleotide ribosomal RNA is filed under the name uncultured bacterium. RNAcentral describes it as "partial 16S ribosomal RNA". It matches the Rfam family "Bacterial small subunit ribosomal RNA", at positions 524 to 776 of the family's 1533-position model. The record is from RNAcentral.